CCAAAUUUCCUUUCUACUUUUUAAAUCUUGUUAUGUUGCCUCUUGGGUAGGUUUCAACCUGUUUCCUGUAGAAAAAAUAAGAUUGAAAAAGUACAUUAUUAGUAUGUAUCAAUGGUAGUGCAUAACACAUCAGAUUGUACACAAUGAUGGCCCUUUGUAUGGAAGAACAAGUGAACACAUCAACAUGUAUUUUUUGUGUUUGUAC
RNAcentral lists this long non-coding RNA (205 nucleotides) under Hordeum vulgare. RNAcentral describes it as "long non-coding RNA (HVUL_LNC006955)". Lineage: Eukaryota; Viridiplantae; Streptophyta; Magnoliopsida; Poales; Poaceae. The record is from RNAcentral.